This 253-nucleotide ribosomal RNA is filed under the name uncultured bacterium. RNAcentral's name for it is "partial 16S ribosomal RNA". It matches the Rfam family "Bacterial small subunit ribosomal RNA", at positions 524 to 776 of the family's 1533-position model. The record is from RNAcentral.
UACGUAGGGUGCGAGCGUUAAUCGGAAUUACUGGGCGUAAAGCGUGCGCAGGCGGUUCGCUAAGACAGGCGUGAAAUCCUCGGGCUCAACCUGAGAACUGCGCUUGUGACUGGCAAACUAGAGUACGUCAGAGGGGGGUGGAAUUCCACGUGUAGCAGUGAAAUGCGUAGAGAUGUGGAGGAACACCGAUGGCGAAGGCAGCCCCCUGGGAUGAUACUGACGCUCAUGCACGAAAGCGUGGGGAGCAAACAGG